This 301-nucleotide ribosomal RNA is filed under the name uncultured bacterium. Its description in RNAcentral is "partial 16S ribosomal RNA". It matches the Rfam family "Bacterial small subunit ribosomal RNA", at positions 509 to 807 of the family's 1533-position model. The record is from RNAcentral.
CAGCCGCCGCGGUAAUACGAGGGGGGCAAGCGUUGUUCGGAAUUAUUGGGCGUAAAGGGUGCGUAGGCGGUUUGGCAAGUUUGGUGUGAAAUCUUCGGGCUCAACUCGAAGUCUGCAUCGAAAACUGCCGGGCUUGAGUAUGGGAGAGGUGAGUGGAAUUUCCGGUGUAGCGGUGAAAUGCGUAGAUAUCGGAAGGAACACCUGUGGCGAAAGCGGCUCACUGGACCAUAACUGACGCUGAGGCACGAAAGCUAGGGGAGCAAACAGGAUUAGAUACCCCUGUAGUCCCUGUCUCUUAUAC